This 469-nucleotide ribosomal RNA is filed under the name uncultured bacterium. RNAcentral's name for it is "partial 16S ribosomal RNA". It matches the Rfam family "Bacterial small subunit ribosomal RNA", at positions 28 to 507 of the family's 1533-position model. The record is from RNAcentral.
GACGAACGCUGGCGGCGUGCUUAACACAUGCAAGUCGAACGGAAAGGCCCUUCUUUUGUGGGGUGCUCGAGUGGCGAACGGGUGAGUAACACGUGAGUAACCUUCCCUUGACUUUGGGAUAACUUCAGGUAACUGGGGCUAAUACCGGAUAGGAGCUCCUGCUGCAUGGUGGGGGUAGGAAAGUUUCGGCGGUUGGGGAUGGACUCGCGGCUUAUCAGCUUGUUGGUGGGGUAGUGGCUUACCAAGGCUUUGACGGGUAGCCGGCCUGAGAGGGUGACCGGCCACAUUGGGACUGAGAUACGGCCCAGACGCCGACGGGAGGCAGCAGUGGGGAAUAUUGCACAAUGGGCGGAAGCCUGAUGCAUCAACGCCGCGUGAGGGAUGACGGCCUUCGGGUUGUAAAACGCUUUCAGCAGGGGCGAAGCUGGGGGUGACGGUACCUGCAGAAGAAGCACCGGAUAACUACGUG